AGGAUCUGCCUUAUACCAAGUCAGGCCAUUUGGUGCCAUCUAGCUCAAUACUGGUGGCAUGGACUAGCAUUGGGUCUCCAGGAUUCCAGUGUGGCUCUUCCCUCGGCACGAGGGAGGAAGGGGAGAGCCAGACCGCGCUGGAGGACAAGAAAGAAGAGGGGGAAGGCAGCAGCAGCAGCAGCAGAAUGGAGGGCUUUGUCUGGCAUUGAUGAAGAUGAAGCAGACGCAAACGUCUGAUGCUUGGAGCUCUCUGAUUUCAGAGUUGAUGGGGUGAACCCAGUGAAAAGCUACAAGAAAGACUCAGAACUGAUAGACUACUGUAUGCUCUCCUCUCUUUCUCUCUCCCUUCCCCCACUGCCAUUUCCUCUGCUCUUACCACUGACUUCAAGUUGCUCUUUUGUGCUGAUGGGCUUGUCUUUCCUCGACCAACAUAGAUCGUUUCUAGAAUCACUAGUCGAUCCAUGCAUUUUUUUGUUUGUUUAUUUAAAUCUUACCUAAGUGGAUUAGCUGUGCUCCUCCUGUCUACUUCCUGGUGGUUUUGUUCUGCUGCUAGAGGUUUGUCUUCCAAUGAGAAUUCUCACUGAUGGAAUUAUAGCAAAGUGAGUUCUUCACUGAGGCAUACCUAAUGCGGAUCAGAACAGGCAAUGGCAUAAUUGGGUUUGCGGAGAACUACGGCACCAGAGGAACAUGGCUUUUUCCAAGAAUUACUCUCUCUCUCUCUCUCUCUCUCUCUCUGUGGUUGCAAAUAAAAAAUGAUACCGGGGUCACUCUUUCUGCCACCCUUUGUUAAAGUGAUAACAAGCGUUUUCAGGCACAUCUGUUUAGUACUCCCCAAAUCCUUGGUUAGUAAAGUCAGCCAGCUAGACCUGUAAAUUUCUCUCUAGGGGGGACGGGGGCUUCACAAAUCUCUCCGUUUAUAAGUCAUGUUGCUGUACCUC
Molecule: long non-coding RNA, 938 nt
Organism: Rhineura floridana
Lineage: Eukaryota; Metazoa; Chordata; Lepidosauria; Squamata; Rhineuridae
Exons: 3
Source: RefSeq, a predicted model, not a curated record